This 123-nucleotide ribosomal RNA is filed under the name Jaculus jaculus (lesser Egyptian jerboa). Lineage: Eukaryota; Metazoa; Chordata; Mammalia; Rodentia; Dipodidae. The record is from RNAcentral.
GUCUACAUCCAUACCACCCUAAAUGUACCAAAUCUCCUCUGAUCUUGGAAGCUAAGCAGGGUCAGGCCAGGUUAGUACUUGGAUUGGAGAUUUAAUGAGUGAAAUUAAGGCUAAAUGGGGAAG